Molecule: RNA transcript, 5537 nt
Organism: Mirounga angustirostris (Northern elephant seal)
Lineage: Eukaryota; Metazoa; Chordata; Mammalia; Carnivora; Phocidae
Gene: UPK1A
Gene name: uroplakin 1A
Exons: 7
Source: RefSeq, a predicted model, not a curated record
UUAAAGAGGGCACGUUCUGCAUGGAGCACUGGGUGUUAUACACAAACAAUGAAUCAUGGAAUACUACAUCAAAAACUAAUGAUGUAGGAGCGCCUGGGUGGCUCAGUCGUUAAGCGUCUGCCUUUGGCUCUGGUCACUAUCCCAGGGUCCUGGGAUCGAGCCCUGCAUCAGGUUCCCCGCUCCGUGGGAAGCCUGCUUCUCCCUCUCCCACUCCCCCUGCUUGUGUUCCCUCUCUCGCUGUGUCUCUCUAUCAAAUAAAUAAAUAAAAUCUUUAACAACAACAACGACAAAAACUAAUGAUGUAUUGUAUGAUGAUUAACAUAACAUAAUAAAAAAAAAAGAUACAUGCGGACAUAUUAGAGUGUUUACCAGUAGAGGGCACCAAAAGUGAUUGAGAUAUGGGGAUAUAAGGGAAUAAGUUAAAUUUAAAACAAGAGAUAUCUUGUGGGGAAUAAUGAUCUGAGGGUAUGGAAUUAACUCAAGCAGUGACACCUGAGAUCUGAAGAAGAAGACAGUGCAAAGGUUGUGGAGGAUGAUGAGACCCAAAUGUAGUAAUAAAGUUGUCUCUGGUCUUGUCUUGAAAAUAAAUACAAUGAAAAUAUAUUAUUCAAUUCUACUCACACACUGAGGCUGCCGAGACCUGCUCUAAGCAAGGUGAGAGAGAUGUUUAGGACACAGCAUCAGACCACUGAGCCUUUCUCAAUGGCACCAUCGAGAUUAGAGGAUUAGAACUAGAUCAUUUUCCCAUUAGAUAUCAGUUACGUAGGUUCAUACCAUUUCAAGUCCAUAAACAGCCUAAAAUCAGCUCUUGUGCACCCUUUGGAAAACACCCCUUUGACACAUCAAAUACGUCUCUUUGAAAAGGUUUCACCCUCUUUAGAACACAUUGUAAUUAAGAAUAUAUACAUAUUCACAGAGAAAUGCACUUACCGUAUCUGUACAGCUAGACAAAUUUUCACAAUCUGAGCAGCCCAUGUAACCAGUGUCCAAACCAGGAAAGAGAAAUCCCCUCCCUGUCCCUUCUAGUCACAAUGCCCCCAAGGGUAACCACUGCCCUGACUUUUAUCCCCCUAGAUUGGUUUUGCCUGUUUUCAAACUUCAUAUCUAGAAUCAUACAUUUACAGUCUUUUGAAUGUGGCUUUUUUCAUUUAAUGUAAUGCUUUUGUUUUGUUUUGUUUUGUUUAAUUCAUCCCUGUAGUUGCAAGUACCAAUAGUUCAUUGCCUUUUAUUGCUGAAUAGUAUCCCUUGUAUGCAUGUACCAUAAUGUACUUACCCAUUCUACUGGGAAGGAGCAUUUGGGUGGUUUCCAGCUUGGGACUAAUAUGAAUACAUUCAGAGCAUUUGGUAGACAGAAAUGGGGGGAUUCCCAGGGACAAAUGACUGGAUCACAGGAUAAUCGUGGAUAGGCAAGAGUCCUCUUUAGGAGAUCUUGGCAUUGUGACUUUUUAAAAAAAAAUUUUUUUAGAGAGAAAGAGCACACACAGGUGGGUGGGGGGCUCGAUCCCACGACCCCAAGAUCAUGACCUGAGACAAAAUCAAAAGUCGGACACCUAACUGACUGAGCCACCCAGGCACCCCAGCAUUGUGAUUUUUUUAAAGGAAGUAAUUAGCACUUCAACAUGUAUUGUUUGAAGACUGGCUUAUAUAAUGAGAAGAAAGAAUAGUGAAAAUUAAUGUUUGAUAUCACACUAGAACAGGGUACCUGGGUGGCUCAGUCGUUAAGCAUCUGCCUUCGGCUCAGGUCAUGAUCCCAGGGUCCUGGGAUCGAGCCCCACAUCAGGCUCCCUGCUCAGCGGGAAGCCUGCUUCUCCCUCUCCCUCAGUGCUCUCCCUCUCUCUCUCUGUCUCUCUCAAAUAAGUAAAAUCUAUUUAAAAUUUUUUUUAAAAAGGCUUUGACAUCACACUAGAACAAAAUGGACCCCUUUUAUGACUGGUGACAGUAAUGCCCCAUUGAUGAUAACUUUUUGCUUUUACCAGGCAUUUUACACUUGAUCUUGCCAAAAGGCUGAGACAUUUUAUAUAACUUCCAACUACUAACAGUUACCAACUAUUUGAAAAUAAAAGUAUUUCAUAUUGUUAGCAUGGCCCUAUUAUUACCAAGUUAUUUUAGCUAAAGCUCAUAAAAUGUACUUGACAGGUCAUGUACGUUAUUACUUAAAUGUUCUUAUUACUCCUUAAUAUAAAUGUAAAUCAACAGAGAAAAACUAUCUUAAAUCUAAAGUGGAUUGGCUAAAAAAUUACUCAUUUUAAUUUUAAUCGGAACACAUCUCAUGUGUUUUAUUACCAAGCCAUUGUCUUAACACUGAAAUUUUAAGUUCCAUUUGUUUGCCCAUUUCACAUGCACCAAGGGAGCUACAGCUCAGAGAGAAAACACAGUCAGUGCCUUGGUUCUUGAGAAGUUCUGGGGAAGGACCGGGUGCCCCAAGCCAUUUUCACCUGAGGAACCAGCCUUGUGACACUAGGGGGCACCAUCGGAGGAAAAGUGGGCCCCUGGGAGCAUUGCUGGUGCCGCCUGGCCUCUUGCUGUACUCCAAGCCAGAGGACAUCCUUUGCACAUAUCCCUGCGCUCAGUUCCCACUGCUACUGGGGCGAGUCGGCCGAUGAUACCCAUUCUACAGAUGGGCAAACAUACAUACCAAGUUACGCAGCCCAGAGGAGGCAGAACUGGGAUUUCAACCUUGGUCUCUGAUUCUGCAGCCUGAAGACAUUUCCACCUAUGGCUCCUCACUGUGGCCCUGCUUUGUCUGUGUGCAUGGGUGUGUGGGGGGGUACUUUUCUCCCACUAAGGCCAUUCCGUGUGCCCUCUCUCUUUUUUCUAGCACACUCUCUUCAUCCCCCCCUUAUACACUCAUCUGGAACUCCCCUCACCCACCCAUCUCAAGCCACUGUCUCCCCUCAGCCUAUGGCCAUAUAAUCAGCCUUCUGAGCUGCCCUUCCUCCUGCCCCUUCAUCUCCUCCCCACCUCCUUGUCUAGGUCCAGCUCUGACCUAGCCCGCUGGGGUCUCUGUCUGGACCUCCCCCUGGGCUCCCAGCCUGAGAUGUGGAGCCGCCAGCACAGGACGCAGUUCUGGGAUUCAGGAUUCACAUGUGGAUCCAACUUGGAUCUCUCCCCUGCUCCCAGGAAGGCCCACGUCCAAAGGAGAGAGAUGAAGUGGUACACUCACCCUCCCAACCCCAGCCUCCUCCUCCACCACCGCGGCAGCCUGGGAGCCGGAAGCCUUGGGCACAUCACCCUGCUCAUGCAGCCAGACAUUAGCACAAUCUUGAAUUUCAGGUCUAUAAAUCACUGGGGUUGGGGGUGGUUGGUGCUCAUAAAACUCUUCUUCCAUGCUGGUCGGCCUGCUUGACCUCUUAUCUCCUCCUCCAGACACCCUUCCCCCUUCCUGGAGACUGGCCCAAGGAGGGGCCUGGGCAUAUAUAGGGAGCCACCGUGGGAAGGCCUGGCCACAGAGGCUUCGGAAAGAGAAGGCAGGACCAUGGCAUCUGCAGCAACAGAGGCGGAGAAAGGGUCUCCGGUUGUGGUGGGCCUGCUGGUGGUGGGCAACAUCAUUAUUCUGCUGUCGGGCCUGGCCCUGUUUGCCGAGACGGUGUGGGUGACAGCCGACCAGUACCGUGUGUACCCACUGAUGGGCGUCUCCGGCAAGGAUGAUGUCUUCGCCGGUGCCUGGAUCGCCAUCUUCUGCGGCUUCUCCUUCUUCGUGGUGGCCAGCUUUGGGGUGGGCGCAGCACUGUGCCGCCGCCGGUCCAUGAUCCUCACGUACCUGGUGCUCAUGCUCAUCAUCUACAUCUUUGAGUGCGCCUCUUGCAUCACGUCCUACACUCAUCGCGACUAUAUGGUGUCCAACCCAUCCCUGAUUACCAAGCAGAUGCUGACCUUCUACAGUGCAGACACAGACCAGGGCCAGGAACUGACUCGCCUCUGGGACCGUGUCAUGAUUGAGCAAGAGUGCUGUGGCACAUCCGGGCCCAUGGACUGGGUGAACUUCACAUCAGCCUUCCGGGCAGCCACCCCGGAGGUGGUGUUCCCCUGGCCCCCACUGUGCUGUCGGCGGACUGGCAACUUCAUCCCCCUCAGUGCAGAAGGCUGCCGCCUGGGCCACACAGACUACCUGUUCACCAAGGUGUGUCCCCUCCCUGCCGCUCCCCUGUCUGUGCAUCGGUCUGGCCCCCCUGGUCCUUCUGUCUCGUCCUGCCUCCCACUUUCUUCUCCUCCUCCCCUCUCUGGCUUUUUUCUUUCUCUCCCGUCUCUCCGGCUCUCUCAACUCUCUUGCCACCUGUCCCUGCUCCCUCCGCAAGUCAGUGGGAGGCCCAGGGUCUGAGCUGGCACCUGCCACUUUUCUCAGGUCGUCUGGGAAGAAGAGCAACAGGAAUCACAGCGGUAGCACCACAACCAUAGUAACCACGUGCAUUGAGCCCUUACGUGGUGCCCGGCACUCUUCUAAGGGCUUUAAGUCUUUGUCUUAUUUAAUUCCCACCACGGCCUGUGAGGUGCAAUAUGAUUAAUGAGCCCAUUUUAAGGAUGAUGAAACUGAGUUCACUGUCUAGUGAGCGAUGGAGCUGGGACUGGAUUUCAGGAGCUUUAACCAGUGAGUGCAGAGGCAGAGAGAGAAACCAGAGGAGGUUAGACUGGGAGGAAAACCAGUUCCAACAGUCCCUCUGGCUGCUUUCGGCUGCCUAGGGGCCCUUCAGCCACACGUCUUAGAUCAGGUGUCACGGAGAGGGGACCUGCACCGACCACGACGGCUAUCAGAGCCCGACGGCCAUUUCUGAAGCCCAGCUCCGGGCAGAGUGCACACAUGCGUCAUUUCGUGGACUCCCCACGACCACUUUCAGAGGCCAGUGCUGUCAAGAUUGUCACCUCACAGAUGGGCAAACUGAGGCUCAGAGAGCCAGAAUCAUUCCCAGGCCCUAACAGCGAACAAAUGGCAGAGAUGGCCCCCAACUCAGUCCUGCCUGACUCCAGGACGCGCACCCUCAACCUUAGUUUGUGGGUGCUUCCAAGUCGAGGCAGGGGUCUACCUGAAGGCGACUCUGUUGUGAGGCUCAGGCCCCACUUGGCCUCCUUCCUAAAUGGGGACGUAUCAAAACUGCACCGCACCUAAAGGCAGAUUUCAAACCCUUGGAACUUGUGGGCAGCAUGGAAAGCCAGCUCUGCACAAAAUUGCCCUCAGACUGUCAUAGCCACCGCCAGGGUAGUACCUACUUGCGUGGGGCCUGGGUUCAACAUCACACCCCUGGCUCCCCAAAAACCAUUCUGGGGGUAGACACUGCCACAAUCCCCAUUGCGUGGCUGAGGGAAAGGAAGUGACCUUCCAAAGGGCACGCAGUGACUCUCCCUCAGUGCUAGCCCUACUGGGCAUUUCCUCAAACCCCCAUUUCCCCCCCACCCAGGGCUGCUUCGAGCACAUCGGCCAUGCCAUCGACAGCUACACGUGGGGUAUCUCGUGGUUUGGGUUUGCCAUCCUGAUGUGGACGCUCCCUGUGAUGCUGAUAGCCAUGUAUUUCUACACCACGUUGUGAGGAACAAGGAGGGAAGGC